RNAcentral lists this ribosomal RNA (425 nucleotides) under uncultured bacterium. RNAcentral describes it as "partial 16S ribosomal RNA". It matches the Rfam family "Bacterial small subunit ribosomal RNA", at positions 354 to 796 of the family's 1533-position model. The record is from RNAcentral.
GUGGGGAAUAUUGGGCAAUGGGCGAAAGCCUGACCCAGCAACGCCGCGUGAAGGAAGAAGGUUUUCGGAUCGUAAACUUCUAUCCUUGGUGAAGAUAAUGACGGUAGCCAAGAAGGAAGCCCCGGCUAACUACGUGCCAGCAGCCGCGGUAAUACGUAGGGGGCAAGCGUUGUCCGGAAUGAUUGGGCGUAAAGGGCGCGUAGGCGGCCUGGUAAGUCUGGAGUGAAAGUCCUGCUUUUAAGGUGGGAAUUGCUUUGGAUACUGUCGGGCUUGAGUGCAGGAGAGGUAAGCGGAAUUCCCGGUGUAGCGGUGAAAUGCGUAGAGAUCGGGAGGAACACCAGUGGCGAAGGCGGCUUACUGGACUGUAACUGACGCUGAGGCGCGAAAGUGUGGGGAGCGAACAGGAUUAGAUACCCUAGUAGUCC